This is a long non-coding RNA of Tetranychus urticae (two-spotted spider mite), 1508 nucleotides long. RefSeq lists it as uncharacterized. The record is from RefSeq and is a predicted model, not a curated record. Lineage: Eukaryota; Metazoa; Arthropoda; Arachnida; Trombidiformes; Tetranychidae.
UUAAACACUUUUCCUUUGACAUGAUUGUUUAACAGUCAAGUUUAAUUUUAAUUAGUCAAUAUAACCUUGUCUUUGAGUGAUAAUUUAGUGCUGUUAAUGUUGUCGAGUGGAUUUCUCAUACAUUUAUGGUUUUCCCGAGUCAAGAGUUACUGGCUAUUUUGUGUUUAAUGUUGACACUUGUCUGCUGCAUAAAUGUGCUUCAAUAAUUGAUUCAAAAUGUUUCUACUUCAUUUUUCUUCAAGUGAUUUAUCAUUAAUGCAUUUGAUCAAGUAUAUUAAUGGUCGCUCAAAAUUAUCAGCUAUUUGUGUGUUACACCUUGAAUUGGUUGAACACUUAACUUACCAGUGAAAAACGUUUUACAAACGCUAUUCAAGUUUGAAUGAACCUUAAUGAAAGAGUCAUAAUCAAUCAUAAACCAAAUAUACAAACAAACAAAAAAUCAAUCAAUGUUAAUGGCUGUUAUUAACUCUUACCUGGCAAUGAUUAGAUUAUUUUGCAUUGACCAGAACAAUUACCUCAAACAAGUCAAAUUAUGUUGGAAAAAAACAAAGGACAAAAAAGUGAAUUGACCAUUGCUCUUUAUUAAACGUAUUACUAUUAAUGGAUUGUAUUGUUAAUAAUGCAUGUAAAUUGUUGAAAGGGUAAACCCUUUUUAACUAAUUUGUUGUACCUUUGUUGUACUAACUGUUUACUAAUUAACCGCACAAGUUAAGGUCAGUUGGUGAUGUUAAUGAAAGGUUUUAACUGACCAUCAACUCAAGCUUAAUUAGUUGGAAAACAAUUGAGGAUUCUUACACGUUCAACAAUUUAAUGGCAUAACACAAAUGCCAUGACAGUAACAAGAUCAAAGCCAAGAAGUGUCAAACUCUGGUCAGUAAAAAUUUAGAAGGAAAUCGGAGGAAGUAUCAUUUUUGGCGAUUUAUCUUAAAAUGGCCAUGGAUUUCUCAUCUUGGAAGGAACAGCAAACAAUCGGAAAUUUUCUUGACCAAAUACCGUGAAUUUGAUUGCUUUAUCAUAUUUGGCUGACGAAAUACAAGACUCUAAGUGAUUGGCCGAGACUUGAACAGCCAGUAUAAACAGCUUGCUAUUAAACAGUCAACGAUGAUACAAAUUGACUGGUAUCAAUGAUAUCUUUAAAAUAUUAUAUUUCAUGUUAUUACAUGUUACACGAUUAUUAACCUCAAUAUCAUUGAUUGUAAACCUUCAAUGUUUAACAAUCUCAGGGUUUUACAUGAUUGAAAGUGAAGCCUAAAGUGGUUCAACAUUUUAAGGUGAAAGUUGAAUAGAUAAAGAUACAAAAAGAUAUUACAUAAAAAAACAAUGAAAUAUUAAUAAUAAUGGUAAUAAAGUAACUCCAAUUAUCUAAUUAACUUUAUAAGUCGUUAAUCUUGUUUCAAGCUUUCCUGGUUUUAACUGUUAAUCAGAAACAAAAAUCAGGGUUUGUCAAAUCACGUUUACCUUUGACCGGAAUAUGAGCAAAAAUUAAUAAAUUGACUUUCAAUUUUUAA